Molecule: long non-coding RNA, 4129 nt
Filed under: Homo sapiens (human)
Lineage: Eukaryota; Metazoa; Chordata; Mammalia; Primates; Hominidae
Description: HSALNT0286394
Source: RNAcentral
CUUCAGAACUCGGGGUUUGGUGAGAAAUUUGUUGGCACAGGACAGUCUGGAUGCUCUUGUAUACUCAACUGUUUUGUUUGACUUUCCCAGGGGAGGGGGAAAUAUUACCCUUGGGAAACAGGCUUCAGGGAAAUUGAUUUUCAUGAGAAAAACAUAUUGAGCAAAGAGGCAGGACCUGACUCCCUAAUGGGAGGAAGUUAAGGCAGGAUAUUAAGUUGGGCAGUUAGAGAAGCAGCUAGACUGAGAAUGCUCUGGAAGGUGGGUCCUGACUCUCUGUCAGGAUGAACGAAGCAGCCAGAUCAUGAGGACAUGGUGGCCAGUCCUUCUAGGGAAGAAAAGGACAAUGAGAGCUCUACAGGCUCCUCAAGUUUACCUUCCAUCCCCAACUUCAUCUGUAGUGCAAGAUUAUUGCUGGCAUAAAUAUGAAUGAAGACACAAAUACAGCGUGGGGACUAUAAGGUCUCAAUACUCUUUGCAUGGUCAAGAUUGGAGUUUAACAAAGCUGAUAUCAAACUCUGUUUCACAGUAAUAGCAAAGUGACAGGAAUAAUUGUGUGACAAAUCCAUCAGAAUUUAUAAUCCAAAUGAGAGUUUUCCUCUCACAGAAGUUCCCUGGGAAACUACACACUUUUUCCACUGAUGUUUUAAAAAAAACACUGGGACUCUUUUCGAGUAUAUUUUUUAGAUCCUUCGACACAGACUUUUGGUCCUGCUUAGCUGAGGUUAACUUUCAUCUUUUGAGAAUAGAUUUGCAUGCUACAAAUAGCCAAGAGUCUUUCCGAGAUUGCUGUAAUAAAUAACUUUGGAGACUAAGUUGAGUCAUACCAUUCAACUAAGUUAGAUUCUUUAACUAUCAGUUUUAGUUACAAGUUCUUAAGUGCAGUUCAGGCCCUUGGGCCAAAUCAGAGAAGGCCAGGAUCUGAAAGUUAAACAGACAAGUCAGUGUGAUACUAACUCUAAGAUGGGUCUAAGUAUUAUGGAGCAUGCUCAAGCAGGUGACAAAUUGUCAGGGUGACAUGGCAGUGGCAAUAAUAGAGGUUAAGGCAAGAAAUAGGCAGAGGGAGUCCAGGAAACCCAAGAGCAGAUAGAAAUAUAGUAUUCAAGUAAGGAUUAAAAAGACCUGUAGAGAGGUAAACCAGAAUCCUACUCUCAGGGAUCUCGAGUGUUAAUUGGGGGACCAAAUAUGAGAUUUGGGUUCUAGAAGAGUUAUAGGAAAUUAAGUAGGAUCCCAAGUAAAGUCAUGAGAUGACAAGGUCAGAGUAAGCCUGAAUUUCUAAUAUUUCUUCUGUGCCAAACUAUGAUUGUUCCAAGAACCUAGGACAGAGCCGAACCCACAAGAAUUAUUGAGUGGCCUAAGCACAAUGAAAAUUACACAAGUGAUGUAUCAUUCAUAACACUGUGGUGGUGAAGAAGUCAACCACAUAAUUCUGCCAGUGCUUCAGAAUGUCUAUCCUAUUAGUCUGACUACCUUUGAGAGGUGAAUUCUACAUGACAGUGCCAUGGUUGUUGGAAAAAUAGCACAACUCCAUUAUCCUCAUCUGUAGUUGGAUUCUGCGCUUAUCUUGGGGUCUCUGGCAGACCGAAGUUUGCCUCUGAAGAUUCUAACACUUUUGUUUCUUAAUCACACCAGAAAAACCAUUUUCCUCCCUGGUUACUAUUUUACUCAAGAACAUCUUUUUCUUUUGAGCUUCCCUGGAAAGUUCAAAACAAAUGUCAAACCUUCUGUUUUCAUUCAUCACUUAAAAUGAAUUGACAUCUUUAUAGAAACUUUGCUUGUGUUUAGGGUUUCUUCCAGAUCAAGUCAGCUUCUUCAUCCAAAUUGGAUUCUUCAGACAUCAUUCUCGCAGUUGCAAGACAUAAAGACAUUUAAUGAAGCAAAUCUCUGACCUUUUCAAUAUUUCCAUCUGUCCUGUGGAUGACUAGAUGACCCAGUCAUGCAUCAUCAUGGAGACCUUCCCUAAACCUUUCAUAGCAGUCCCAAUUUUUGCUCUUGAGAUUAUUCAUGCCCCCAUAAGCAUCUCUUAAUACAUGAAGUAUCUAACUUGCAAAUUCAUUUUAUGCAAUAUUUUAUAUUGAUAUUUUGCUCUAAACAAUGGCCAUUGAUUUUUGCAGUGAUAUGAAACUAGCAUGCAUUUCACCACCAAUACUAGCUAGUGCAAGACCGAUUAACUGACCUUGAUAGUUUUGUUCCUGAAAGUUAAAGCAUGUUUCCAGUUUGGCCUUGGUCACAGUUCCCAACAUUGAAUAACAACUCAAUGUAUAUGUGACCCCAAAGAUAAUUAUUUUAGAAAUUAAGAUGCCUAUAUUGUUCUUUCUCUUUCAUGUAUCUUGUCAUCAUCAUUAUAUCAGCCUGAGCUAGUUGAAGGUCAUUUCCGUAUGGGCUUCGAGGGUAAGUAAGUAGGGUUUGGGAGAGCCCCUUACCCCAAGUCUCAGCUUAGUUGCUGACACAUACCUAUUAUAGCACCCUAGACUAUUUGUGUUAUCCUAUCUCCUGAGUAAUUACAGUAUAUGGUAGUGGUUAAGGAAGCAGGCUCUGAAGUUAGAAUUGGGCUUGAAACUUAAUGAUCAUUCACUAAUGUAGUCAAGUGAAUUCUUACCUACGUGAUAGAAAUAAUAUCCACCUGCAAAGUUCACAGAGAUUAAAUGAAAUAAUAUAUAUAUAACACACUUAGCAUGGUACCAGCCUAUCUAUUAUUAAUCAGUGGGAAGACCAGCCUGACUUACUGAAAAGUCAGGAUAUCUUUCAAAGUUAUAAAGUAACACCUCUAUUAAUAUUGACUCUUCUUAUUCAGAAACUUCCUUCACAGAAUAACAUCAGAAACAAUACUCAAUUCCAGCCAUACUCCAAGGGGAGGUUGUGGCUCACUCAAGUUUGCAAGUGUACUUCUGUUUCCUUGGGAUUUGACCCUACACUGGUUAUUGCUGAGCUGAAGAUACUACAGACCUUUAGCUUCCUCCAUUAAAAGAAACUAGCUAGGCUGUCUCAUUUCUUCAGCUGCCACUGCUGCUAGUCAAGGACUGAGAGCUUCCAUUAGUCUUCUAUGUCUCUGUGUACUCAGGCUAACUUUAAUCAAAUGAAAUUCCUACUUAAUGGAUUGAUUAAUUGAGAUGUUAUUGUUUGCUAUUGUUACCUCCAAAUAUAAACAAUGAAUUGUAUUAUCAAGUAGAUGGCUUAAUGGCAUCAAUAUUAAUAAAUAGAGAAAUAUAAUCAAUGUUUCACAUGUAAAUGAAACCUAUAUUACCCCUGUAAUUUUGUUUAAGGUAUUAGUUUACCAAGCAUAUCCUUUCUUUUUGUAGCUGGUGGAAUGGUAAACUCCAAAGCCUAGUCUAUAAAUAAAGCAGUCCCCUGUCAUGAGCUAGUGAAGUCCAAAUUAAUAAGGUUUACUUUAUCUAUACUAACCCUAACUACACUGAUAUAUUACUUAUCUAAAGGUCCCCUUCCUGGAAAUCAUAAUUGUCUAGUACUCACAGAGCUAAAACUAAUAAAUAACCUUUAAAGACCUUAGGAGAGCCAAAAGAGAUGAUACAAAAUCUCUGCCCCAAACCUCAUCCAGAGUGCUUGUAGAAAAACCCCCUAAGGUUCACAAUCCUACUUUAUACACAAUUGUAACUCAGCUUAUUUUCUGAGCCUAGGAUAGAAGAGAAAAUGUCAAUGGACUACUGGAGGCAUAAACAAUGUUAUCAGUAAGUAAAAACUUUAGAUAUAAGACAGAAUAGUUCUUAAAAAAAAAAAAAAAAAACAGCCUGCGGCCAUUUACUGGAUAAUUAAACAGUCUGAUACACCUCAAGAUUGCUCCUAAAGACACUACACAUCUCAGCCCGACCCAAUGAUUAAUGUCCUUAAAGAUGGCCUGGAAUCAACCUGAAGAAGGCAAAUUGUGUCAGGUUCACUUGGCAUGAAAACACAGAGACCUAUCCGUUUGAAACAAUUAGUACUGCAAGGGACACUUCUAUUAUUUGGGACAUGCACUUACAAACAUCUCCUUCCUGACCAAUGCCAAAUAGAUCUGGUGUUACAGUAUCCGCCAACCAAGGCAUGUCACACUGGGUUCUGCCAGCCUGGCUCAAUGAACAGAUAAAGGUUUUUGAUGAGCACAUUGUUUAUAUGCAUAUAAAAUAGAUACUAGUCA